This 3239-nucleotide unclassified non-coding RNA is filed under the name Hevea brasiliensis (rubber tree). The record is from RNAcentral. Lineage: Eukaryota; Viridiplantae; Streptophyta; Magnoliopsida; Malpighiales; Euphorbiaceae.
CCUUGUUGGAGAGUUUCAGUUUUGUCCAUUUGAAGUGAAAGUCGAUGAUGGCAACGUAACACAUCAUCCCCGAAAUGGUCCAGAAACAUUGUCUAUGCAAUACUAGUAUGGACAGUUAGGGUUUUCUGUAGAUUGGGAAUUUCUCACACCAAAUCUCUUCCCACAUUUGCAAUUUACAACCAUGAACCUCACAUCCUUUCCAGCCACGGUGCUAGUGCCACUUGAAUAAGAUAUUGCGAUAGAAACGACUGAAGAAACGAGGAUGAGAGGAAGAAGGAGAGGCGAAGAAGGGAGAAAAAAGGUGUUCAGUGUGAAGGAAUGGCUGAAGGAGGAACGAAGAGAGAGUCAGACUGCUUUAAGAGCUAUUAUGGGAAUUUUAGUCAUUUCACGUGAUUUUCUCUCUUCUGAUCGAGUCCUCUUCCAUUUGACUAAUGGUUUUUCUCAUAAAAUGGGUAACAGAAUGAUAAGUAAUUUACCCAACAAAUAUAAAGGACCGAUGCCGGGUUUGAAGUAUAGGCAAAGUUGAAGAAUCCAACGUUGUUAUCGGAGCUACUUGACCUUUUGGCGGGAAUAAAUAAGGCUCCGCUUCCCCUGAUAUCCCCAAAUUUCACAGGAAAAGGAACCCUAGCUAGCAGUCUAUAGGGAGAGAGUGUCGAAACUUUUAAAAUCGGGGAAGAGGAAUGGGAAAAGACGAAGAGGAAAUGAGGGGAGAGAUAGAGGAGAGGCUCAUAAACGAAGAAUACAAAAUAUGGAAAAAGAACACUCCGUUCCUCUACGAUCUGGUCAUUACCCAUGCCCUUGAGUGGCCCUCCCUUACCGUUGUGUGGUUACCCGACCGCGAGGAGCCUCCUGGCAAGGACUACUCCGUCCAGAAGAUGAUUCUCGGCACUCAAACCUCCGAAAACGAGCCCAACUACCUCAUGCUUGCGCAGGUCCAGCUACCACUUGAUGAUGCCGAGAACGAUGCUCGCCACUACGACGACGAUCGUUCUGAUUUUGGCGGCUUCGGAGCUGCCACCGGCAAGGUCCAAAUAAUUCAGCAAAUCAAUCACGAUGGAGAAGUUAACAGGGCUGUUAUAUGCCUCAAAACCCUUUUAUUAUUGCCACCAAGACUGUUAGUGCUGAAGUUUUUGUCUUUGACUACAGUAAGCACCCAUCCAAGCCCCCUCUUGACGGUGCUUGUACUCCUGAUUUGAGAUUGAGAGGCCACAGCACUGAAGGUUAUGGUUUAUCUUGGAGCAACUUUAAACAAGGUCACUUGCUUAGUGGUUCUGAUGAUGCUCAAAUUUGCUUGUGGGAUAUCAAUUCCACUCCUAAGAACAAGGCCCUUGAAGCUAUGCAAAUUUUUAAGGUUCAUGAAGGUGUUGUAGAAGAUGUUGCAUGGCACCUGAGGCAUGAAUACUUGUUUGGCUCUGUUGGGGAUGAUCAAUGCCUGCUUAUAUGGGAUCUCCGGACUCCAACAGUCACCAAGCCUGUCCAAUCGGUUGUUGCUCACCGGAUUGAGGUAAGCUUCUAACAAUUUUAUUAUGCUUUCAUAAACUAACACGCACACACACAGAGGGUGGACAUAUUUUAUGAAUCUUCUUGUGGAUUGUUGUGAUAAGUUGCCUGCUUUUUAUCCUUUGUUUCUUCUUCAAGCUUUGUCCUAUUAAUCUUUCAUUUUGAUCAAAUUCUGUCUCUACUUUCCUGCAUGUACUACAGAAGGUGUAGUUCAGACCAUGUGGCGAUUCCAUUUCCUUGCGCAGCAGUGCCAGGACACUCUAGGACCUUUGCACCCGUUGCAGUGAUUGUUACAUCAGUUACUCUGUUACCUUUAAUCAUAAAAAUAAAAAAGAGCCUCUUUUCCCUGCCUUUACUUUUUCAUGCCCUCUUACCCAGAAGUUUUAUUACAGUUUUCUGUCCCUGAACUGUAAUUCAUUUGAUUUUCUUGUAUAAUUGCCUACUGCUUGGUCCACUGCAUCUUAAGAAUACUAACAUUUGAUUGUCUGUUGGUUGUUGUGUUCUGUACAAAUGAUAUGCAUAAUCAUGUUUGCUCGUCUCCUUAUGCCAGAAGACUGCAUUGAUGUUGUGCAUGACACGUUAAUUAUGAACUUGUGUCUGUUGUAUUCCUAUUUUCUCUGUAACCAGUGAGCUGUUGUUACUUGGAUUGCUGAUGACUAAAUAUUGUUAUUUUAAAUGCCAUGUUCUGUGCUAUCUUCGAUAUAUCAAGAGGCCUAGAUUUUUAAGUUGUGCAAACAAUUAUGUGAAUUUUUUUUUAUUCCUGAAUUUGCCUUAGGUUAAUUGCUUAGCUUCUAAUCCUUUCAAUGAAUAGGUUGUUGCGACGGGAUCCACUGAUAACUGUGAGGCUGUUUGAUAUACGUAAAAUCAACCCAGCGCUUCACGCGUUUGACUGUCACAAGUAAGUAGUCUCUCUCUAUAGUGCAUUUCUGCAGUACUAUUGUAGACUUCUAAUGACAAUAUUGCAUGCAUGCCAAUGCACAUAAAAACAUACUGUCCAAGUUUACAUAUAAAAGACGACUCAAAAUCUGCUAUUUUAUAUUUCUUGCACUUGAUUUUUUAUGUGAUGUAUGUCAGGGAGUUAGAUGAAAUCAAAACUGCAGGAAUCAAAGCCACAAGGCUCCUGCGUCUUUCAAUAUAGGCACCAAUUCUCCUGAAAUAUGAGUAGCCAUAAGCCUAUCCAAUCCUCCAAACAACUUGCCACCAAUAAAAACACCAGGAAGCUGAACUUUUCUCAUAUUAUCAUUUCCACCUCCCACUUUGUUAACAAUCAUCUCCAAUUCUUGCAAAACACUAAUCUCAUCUUCCUCAUCAAUCUCAUAGAUCGGUGGGUUCACUCCAAGACCUAAUAGCAAUCGCUUCACUACAUGGCUCAUACAGCACCCCCGCCUAGCAAACACUAUAAUAGCAUUCUCUUGAACCAUACUGACCAUGUUUUUCGACCCUUUUAACAUUUUCUUAUAAUCAACGAGACCAAUAGUGGAAGUGUGGUUAAGGGUUAGAGGGUUGGUGGUGGUGGUGUAUAGAGGCAGCCAUGACUUGUAAGGGAUUGCCUGCUGCAUCUUUGCUUAGCUAAAGAUGGAGAAAUCGAUGGAGAAAUUAACAAGGAGAGACAGAGAGAGAUUGAAAGGUUUAAUGGGUUGUUUUGUGUGGUUUUGGAAACGAGAAGAGAAUUGAAUAUAUAAAGGGAGAAGAGAAGAGGAGAGAAGACUUUGAUAAUUUGGAGGGCGUCAACGGCAGUU